GCCGGGCAUGGUGGCAUAUGCCUGUGGUCCCAGCUACUCAGGAGGCUGGGGUGGGAGGAUCACCUGAGCCCAGGAGGCAGAGGUUGCAGUGAGCUCAGAUCAUGCCACUGCACUCCCGCCUGGGCGACAAAGUGAGACUCCGUCCCCC
RNAcentral lists this non-coding RNA (148 nucleotides) under Chlorocebus sabaeus (green monkey). The record is from Rfam by way of RNAcentral. Lineage: Eukaryota; Metazoa; Chordata; Mammalia; Primates; Cercopithecidae.